CCUACGGGAGGCAGCAGUGGGGAAUAUUGCACAAUGGGGGCAACCCUGAUGCAGCGACGCCGCGUGAGUGAAGACGUAUUUAUGUAUGUAAAGCUCUAUCAGCAGGGAAGAAAAUGACGGUACCUGAUUAAGAAGCCCCGGCUAACUACGUGCCAGCAGCCGCGGUAAUACGUAGGGAGCAAGCGUUAUCCGGAUUUACUGGGUGUAAAGGGGGCGUAGACGGCAGCACAAGUCUGGAGUGAAAUGCCGGGGCUUAAACCCCUAACUGCCGUUGAAACUGUGCAGCUAGAGUGCAGGAGAGGUAAGUGGAAUGCCUAGUGUAGCGGUGAAAUGCGUAGAUAUUAGGCGGAACACCAGUUGCGAAGGCGGCUUACCGGACCGCAACUGACGUUGAGGCUCGAAAGCGUGGGGAGCAAACAGGAUUAGAUACCCGGGUAGUC
Molecule: ribosomal RNA, 440 nt
Filed under: uncultured bacterium
Lineage: Bacteria
Description: partial 16S ribosomal RNA
Rfam family: Bacterial small subunit ribosomal RNA
Source: RNAcentral